UGGGGAAUCUUGCGCAAUGGGCGAAAGCCUGACGCAGCGACGCCGCGUGAGCGAUGAAGGCCUUCGGGUUGUAAAGCUCUGUGGAUGGGGACGAAUAAGUGUGCGCUAACAUCGUACAUGAUGACGGUACCCAUUUAGCAAGCACCGGCUAACUCUGUGCCAGCAGCCGCGGUAAGACAGAGGGUGCAAACGUUGUUCGGAAUCACUGGGCGUAAAGCGCGUGUAGGCGGCAGUGCAAGUCGGAUGUGAAAUCCCGCGGCUCAACCGUGGAAGUGCACCCGAAACUGCACAGCUUGAGUGUCGGAGAGGAAGGUGGAAUGCUUGGUGUAGAGGUGAAAUUCGUAGAUAUCAAGCGGAACACCGGUGGCGAAGGCGGCCUUCUGGACGACAACUGACGCUG
This 400-nucleotide ribosomal RNA is filed under the name uncultured bacterium. RNAcentral's name for it is "bacterial SSU rRNA". It matches the Rfam family "Bacterial small subunit ribosomal RNA", at positions 355 to 748 of the family's 1533-position model. The record is from RNAcentral.